UACGUAGGGUGCAAGCGUUGUCCGGAAUUAUUGGGCGUAAAGAGCUCGUAGGCGGUUUGUCGCGUCUGCUGUGAAAACCCGAGGCUCAACCUCGGGCCUGCAGUGGGUACGGGCAGACUAGAGUGCGGUAGGGGAGAUUGGAAUUCCUGGUGUAGCGGUGGAAUGCGCAGAUAUCAGGAGGAACACCAAUGGCGAAGGCAGAUCUCUGAGCCGUAACUGACGCUGAGGAGCGAAAGCGUGGGGAGCGAACAGG
This 253-nucleotide ribosomal RNA is filed under the name uncultured bacterium. RNAcentral's name for it is "partial 16S ribosomal RNA". It matches the Rfam family "Bacterial small subunit ribosomal RNA", at positions 524 to 776 of the family's 1533-position model. The record is from RNAcentral.